Molecule: long non-coding RNA, 492 nt
Filed under: Jatropha curcas
Lineage: Eukaryota; Viridiplantae; Streptophyta; Magnoliopsida; Malpighiales; Euphorbiaceae
Description: long non-coding RNA (JCUR_LNC002699)
Source: RNAcentral
UCAAAGCAAACAGAAUUAAUAAUACCCACAAUAUGUAAUAACUUCAAAAGAAAAAAAAAAAAAAUACUGCUAACCCUAAAUAUGCUGCUAAAAUUCCAUAACUGAGUGCUGAAAAACGAAAGUAACUAAAAGUACCCACAUACAAGGUAAUGGCUAUGCUACUAUCAAGAAAAGGGUGUUUCUUGUUUUUUUAUUUUUUUAAAAAUUUUUUAAUUUUUUUUUAAUUUUGUUCAUAUUAAGUUGCACCUGGUGGUGGUGGCAAGGCUUGGAUUUGCUGCUGCGGUGGACGUUUACGCUUCUUUUUCUCAUAGCUGAUUCCUCUUGCUUUAGACUGCAAAUCUCUAACUUCUCGAAGAUAAAGCCUAACUGCACGAGCUCCAAAUGGGUUGGCUUCUGGUUUUCCUCCAUUUUCUUCAAAGGCUGCUCUGAGACGCCCGAUAAGGGCGUCGAGGCUACCCCAAGCUUGCCGGAGUGGACAUGGACAUGGUGCAG